This 522-nucleotide ribosomal RNA is filed under the name Jaydia queketti (spotfin cardinal). Its description in RNAcentral is "partial 16S ribosomal RNA". It matches the Rfam family "Bacterial large subunit ribosomal RNA", at positions 1922 to 2597 of the family's 2925-position model. The record is from RNAcentral. Lineage: Eukaryota; Metazoa; Chordata; Actinopteri; Kurtiformes; Apogonidae.
GUUUAACGGCCGCGGUACUCUGACCGUGCGAAGGUAGCGCAAUCACUUGUCUUUUAAAUGGAGACCUGUAUGAAUGGCAUAACGAGGGCUAAACUGUCUCCUUUUUCAAGUCAAUGAAAUUGAUCCCCCCGUGCAGAAGCGGGGAUAAGCACAUAAGACGAGAAGACCCUAUGGAGCUUUAGACAAAAAGCAGACCAUGUUAAACAAACCCAAAUAAGGGCCUAAACUUAGUGGGAACUGCCCGACUGUCUUUGGUUGGGGCGACCACGGAGUAAAACAAAACCCCCGUGUGGAACAAGGGCAUCCCCCUUUAAACCCAGAGUGACAACUCUAAUAAGCAGAAAUUCUGACCAAACAUGAUCCGGCAAAGCCGAUCAACGGACCGAGUUACCCUAGGGAUAACAGCGCAAUCCCCUUCUAGAGCCCAUAUCGACAAGGGGGUUUACGACCUCGAUGUUGGAUCAGGACAUCCUAAUGGCGCAGCCGCUAUUAAGGGUUCGUUUGUUCAACGAUUAAAGUCCU